This 140-nucleotide transfer RNA is filed under the name Burkholderia pseudomallei. Its description in RNAcentral is "tRNA Cys anticodon GCA, Cove score 56.83". The record is from RNAcentral. Lineage: Bacteria; Pseudomonadati; Pseudomonadota; Betaproteobacteria; Burkholderiales; Burkholderiaceae.
GCGGCUAUCGGCUUUUCGCCAAUCCGGUAUAUUGGUUCCACGGUUUUCGCGGAAACGGGAGCGCGACGCAAGGGCUCGGAAUCGCGGGGACCGUUCGCCACGGGCGUCGCUGCUCGCGGCGAUGUGCUCGUCAACUCACG